Molecule: ribosomal RNA, 478 nt
Filed under: uncultured bacterium
Lineage: Bacteria
Description: partial 16S ribosomal RNA
Rfam family: Bacterial small subunit ribosomal RNA
Source: RNAcentral
GACGAACGCUGGCGGCGUGCUUAACACAUGCAAGUCGAACGGUAAGGCCCUUCGGGGUACACGAGUGGCGAACGGGUGAGUAACACGUGGGUGAUCUGCCCUGCACUUCGGGAUAAGCCUGGGAAACUGGGUCUAAUACCGGAUAGGACCCUGGGAUGCAUGUCCUGGGGUGGAAAGCUUUUGCGGUGUGGGAGGGGCCCGCGGCCUAUCAGCUUGUUGGUGGGGUGAUGGCCUACCAAGGCGACGACGGGUAGCCGGCCUGAGAGGGUGACCCGCCACACUGUGACUGGGAUACGGCCACGACGCCUACGGGAUGCAGCAGUCGGGAAUAUUGCACAAUGGGCGCAAGCCUGAUGCAGCGACGCCGCGUGAGGGAUGACGGCCUUCGGGUUGUAAACCUCUUUCAGCACCGACGAAGCGCAAGUGACGGUAGGUGCAGAAGAAGGACCGGCCAACUACGUGCCAGCAGCCGCAGUAA